ACAUAAAUCCAGCCUGUUAAUAAAGCAUGCAGUCAGAUUGUGGCAGCACAGUGAUCUGUGCACAAGCUGGAUAUGCAAACUGCCAGGAAUCAGAAUGCUUAUAGUCUAGGCCAAAUACCUGCCUUCACUUUCUCCUACAUGUAAAAGUUUUGAUUUACAAGCCAGGAAGAUUUGUGAAGCACAUAGAUAGCACAGGUGAACUUGGUUACAGCCAAGUAACAUACUCCUUUGCAAAAGUGUUCUUACACCAACAUCUUGCCAGCAUGUGGCCUGUACUAGAAAUAAAAUAGUAAGUCCUAAUCUUGAUUUGAAAUUGUCAGGGUUUGAGUCUUACCACAUUUAUCUUGACUUUCAGCAGGGUAUUCUAAAGAUAUGUGUAGUGUAUGCAGCCAGUUGUGGUGUGACUCUACUGCUGUAAAAAAUCAUUUUCUCCUAACCUUUCCCUGUCCUGUGUAUUUUUAUGACAAAGUGCAAGGAUUUACAGCCUUCAGUGGGAAGAAAAGUAACUGCCACAUUAACUGAGUUCUCAUAAAUCAUUUAUUUCUGCUGAUCUUCGAAAGCUGUGACCAAGCUCAUCAGAGAACUGCUGAGAAGAGGAAAUGUCUGUAUAUCAGCAUCACUUGCAGAUGAGGGGAAAUAACUUCUAAAACCAAUUACUGGAGAUUUGUUCCCCUUGAAAAUGAAGACACCCAGCAGUCACAAUACUCACCUGAGGAGAUACUUAAAGAAAAAUCUGAAUCAAACCUAGCAAAAUUGACAGAGAGGUCAUUCAUGGAGAAUAAACAUGAACAUUCUCAUAGAUGUUUCCAUUAUCAACAAAAUAAGAAGUUUUUGUGUACCUAAUAAUUCAUCUGGGGAAUUCAGUAACCAAGGACAGCCAAAAACAGUGGUGUAUAUUUUGAUGAUCAGAGCUCUCCUGUUUGGCCAAGGGAGGUGUGUGUGGGGUGCACAUACACACGCAGGUAGGCUGCAUGCAGCCCACUGUGCACACGCAGCCCAUCAGCAGGGCACCACUGCCUCAGUGUUUCAGCAGGGCCAACAGUGACUGGUGUAUCUGCGAGAGCCUCUGGAGGCAGCAAGGUGUCCAAAUACUCCACGUGCCUGAAGUGUUCAGGCUGGGCUUUGUCAAGAUUCCCCAGUGGAUGAAGAGCCUGAUGUUGAUCUGGUCCUUCCUUUCCAAAGGUAAUGGCUUUCCUUUCCAUGCAUCUAGGAGUAG
This is a non-coding RNA of Phasianus colchicus (ring-necked pheasant), 1216 nucleotides long. Lineage: Eukaryota; Metazoa; Chordata; Aves; Galliformes; Phasianidae. The record is from RefSeq and is a predicted model, not a curated record.